GCAUUUGCUUGGCAGCUCACCCACUAAAAUUUGAACCAUAUAGAGAUGAACAUGGUCCCUGCGCUAAAGUGUCAUGCAAAUUUGUGACACCUUCCAUAUUUUU
Acomys russatus (golden spiny mouse) is the source of this 103-nucleotide small nuclear RNA. Lineage: Eukaryota; Metazoa; Chordata; Mammalia; Rodentia; Muridae. The record is from RefSeq and is a predicted model, not a curated record.